This 526-nucleotide unclassified non-coding RNA is filed under the name Athalia rosae (coleseed sawfly). RNAcentral's name for it is "misc RNA ENSAEAG00005003914.1". Lineage: Eukaryota; Metazoa; Arthropoda; Insecta; Hymenoptera; Athaliidae. The record is from RNAcentral.
CGGGGGUGAGGCCGAGUUUUCGGGGCGAACACCAGAGGGCGACGCCGUCGCAGGGCCAACCCUCUUCCAGGCUUCAUUCGCGCUGCGAGCCGUGCACCUUGCUGAUCGUCGUGCACUUGUCGAAUAAAAUUAUCCGCUCGAGAGGCUAACGAUAGAAGACAAAAAUAUAUAUACAAGUAUCAUUCUCCGCUAGAAACGACGGGGGGGGGGCUGAAAAAAAUUUUGUUUUUUUUUUUUACUUCUUCUUUUUUACCAAAAAACCGUAUAAAUCGACCACGAAUAACGAGAGUUUUUUACCGGAAAUAAAGACGAAAAGAAGGACGAAAAUUUAUCGAAAAAAACAGUUUCGUUCGUCGUAUACCAAUCUCAUUUUUUUACGAUAUGUGUGUCAGUGAAAUUUUGACGACGACUGAACCGAAUGUGCGAUAAGAAGAUGGGAUUGUUUUUUGAUCUUCGUUAAAGAGAAAAAAAAAAAAAAAAAAAAACGGAAAUCAAAAAAAUCAGAGACACAGAGAAACUAGAUAAC